UACGUAGGUGGCAAGCGUUAUCCGGAUUUACUGGGUGUAAAGGGCGUGUAGGCGGGGACGCAAGUCAGAUGUGAAAACCACGGGCUCAACCUGUGGCCUGCAUUUGAAACUGUGUUUCUUGAGUACUGGAGAGGCAGACGGAAUUCCUAGUGUAGCGGUGAAAUGCGUAGAUAUUAGGAGGAACACCAGUGGCGAAGGCGGUCUGCCGGACAGCAACUGACGCUGAGGCGCGAAAGCGUGGGGAGCAAACAGG
This 253-nucleotide ribosomal RNA is filed under the name uncultured bacterium. RNAcentral describes it as "partial 16S ribosomal RNA". It matches the Rfam family "Bacterial small subunit ribosomal RNA", at positions 524 to 776 of the family's 1533-position model. The record is from RNAcentral.